This 559-nucleotide ribosomal RNA is filed under the name uncultured Glomus. Its description in RNAcentral is "SSU rRNA". It matches the Rfam family "Eukaryotic small subunit ribosomal RNA", at positions 546 to 1106 of the family's 1831-position model. The record is from RNAcentral. Lineage: Eukaryota; Fungi; Glomeromycota; Glomeromycetes; Glomerales; Glomeraceae.
AAUUGGAGGGCAAGUCUGGUGCCAGCAGCCGCGGUAAUUCCAGCUCCAAUAGCGUAUAUUAAAGUUGUUGCAGUUAAAAAGCUCGUAGUUGAAUUUCGGGGUCAGCAGGUUGGUCGUGCCACUGGUAUGUACUAGCCUUGCUGAUUCCUCCCUCUUGAUGAGCCGUAAUGCCAUUAAUUUGGUGUUGCGGGGAAUCAGGACUGUUACUUUGAAAAAAUUAGAGUGUUUAAAGCAGGCAUGCGCUUGAAUACAUUAGCAUGGAAUAAUGAAAUAGGACGUUUGAUCCUAUUUUGUUGGUUUCUAGGAUUGACGUAAUGAUUAAUAGGGAUAGUUGGGGGCAUUAGUAUUCAAUUGUCAGAGGUGAAAUUCUUGGAUUUAUUGAAGACUAACUACUGCGAAAGCAUUUGCCAAGGAUGUUUUCAUUAAUCAAGAACGAAAGUUAGGGGAUCGAAGACGAUCAGAUACCGUCGUAGUCUUAACCAUAAACUAUGCCGACUAGGGAUCGGAUGAUGUUAAUUUUUUAAUGACUCAUUCGGCGCCUUACGGGAAACCAAAGUGU